This 380-nucleotide ribosomal RNA is filed under the name uncultured bacterium. RNAcentral's name for it is "bacterial SSU rRNA". It matches the Rfam family "Bacterial small subunit ribosomal RNA", at positions 28 to 406 of the family's 1533-position model. The record is from RNAcentral.
GACGAACGCUGGCGGCGUGCUUAACACAUGCAAGUCGAGCGGUAAGGCCCUUUCGGGGGUACACGAGCGGCGAACGGGUGAGUAACACGUGGGUGACCUGCCCUUAGCUCUGGGAUAAGCCUGGGAAACUGGGUCUAAUACCGGAUAUGACUCCAUAACGCAUGUUGUGGGGUGGAAAGCCUUGUGCGGCUAGGGAUGGGCCCGCGGCCUAAUCAGCUUGUUGGUGGGGUGAUGGCCCACCAAGGCGACGACGGGUAGCCGGCCUGAGAGGGCGACCGGCCACACUGGGACUGAGACACGGCCCAGACUCCUACGGGAGGCAGCAGUGGGGAAUCUUGCGCAAAUGGGCGAAAGACCUGACGCAGCGACGCCGCGUGGGG